AGCGAACGCUGGCGGCAGGCCUAACACAUGCAAGUCGAACGGACCCUUCGGGGUUAGUGGCGGACGGGUGAGUAACACGUGGGAACGUGCCUUUAGGUUCGGAAUAGCUCCUGGAAACGGGUGGUAAUGCCGAAUGUGCCCUUCGGGGGAAAGAUUUAUCGCCUUUAGAGCGGCCCGCGUCUGAUUAGCUAGUUGGUGAGGUAAUGGCUCACCAAGGCGACGAUCAGUAGCUGGUCUGAGAGGAUGACCAGCCACAUUGGGACUGAGACACGGCCCAAACUCCUACGGGAGGCAGCAGUGGGGAAUCUUGCGCAAUGGGCGAAAGCCUGACGCAGCCAUGCCGCGUGGAUGAUGAAGGUCUUAGGAUUGUAAAAUCCUUUCACCGGUGAAGAUAAUGACUGUAGCCGGAGAAGAAGCCCCGGCUAACUUCGUGCCAGCCGCCGCGGUAA
Molecule: ribosomal RNA, 449 nt
Filed under: uncultured bacterium
Lineage: Bacteria
Description: partial 16S ribosomal RNA
Rfam family: Bacterial small subunit ribosomal RNA
Source: RNAcentral